AACCUCCGCAAUGUACGAAAGUGCGACGGGGGGAUCCCAAGUGUUAUGCUUUUUUGUAUAACUUUUCAUUAGUGUAAAAAGCUUUUAGAAUAAGAGCUGGGCAAGACCGGUGCCAGCCGCCGCGGUAACACCGGCAGCUCGAGUGGUAGCUGUUUUUAUUGGGCCUAAAGCGUUCGUAGCCGGUUUGAUAAGUCUUUGGUGAAAGCUUGUAGCUUAACUAUAAGAAUUGCUGGAGAUACUAUCAGACUUGAAGUCGGGAGAGGUUAGAGGUACUACCGGGGUAGGGUGAAAUCCUAUAAUCCUGGGAGGACCACCUGUGGCGAAGGCGUCUAACUGGAACGAUCUUGACGGUGAGUAACGAAAGCCAGGGGCGCGAACCGGAUUAGAUACCCGGGUAUCCUGGCCGUAAACGAUGUGGACUUGGUGUUGGAAUGGCUUUGAGUUGUCCGGUGCCGAAGGAGCUGUUAAGUCCACCGCCUGGGAAGUACGGUCGCAAGACUGAAACUUAAAGGAAUG
Molecule: ribosomal RNA, 516 nt
Filed under: uncultured bacterium
Lineage: Bacteria
Description: bacterial SSU rRNA
Rfam family: Archaeal small subunit ribosomal RNA
Source: RNAcentral